CCGCUCUUUGCUCUGCUUUUCUCACUUGCUAAGAAUAUACACACACCUGCUUUAGCUUCUUCUCCCCUGUAUCUUCAAACACAGAAAAAGAGACAGAGAUGGAGAAUGAAUCUAUGGUGAUAGAAGAAAGAGGAAUCCCAUCCAACGGUGGGAGAUACUUGCAGUAUAACAUAUUGGGUAAUCUUUUCGAAGUCACCUCCAAGUAUGUUCCUCCCAUACAACCAGUGGGUCGUGGCGCAUAUGGCAUCGUUUGUUGUGCCAGAAAUGCUGAGACAAAAGAAGAUGUUGCCAUUAAGAAGAUUGGGAAUGCAUUUGACAACGGGAUAGAUGCUAAGAGAACACUUCGAGAGAUCAAACUCCUUUGCCAUAUGGAUCAUGAGAAUAUUAUAAAAAUCAAGGAUAUAAUACCACCACCAGAGAGGGAAACAUUCAAUGAUGUGUAUGUCGUAUAUGAAUUGAUGGAUACUGAUCUCCAUCAGAUAAUACAGUCUAGCCAGGCCCUGACUGAUGAUCACUGUCAGUAUUUCUUGUAUCAAUUGUUGCGGGGACUGAAGUACAUACACUCUGCAAAUGUUUUGCACCGCGAUCUGAAACCAAGCAACCUUCUUCUGAAUGCAAAUUGUGAUCUUAAGAUUUGUGACUUUGGGCUUGCAAGAACCACCUCGGAGACAGAUUUCAUGACUGAAUAUGUAGUAACCAGAUGGUAUCGAGCCCCAGAAUUGCUGCUUAACUGUUCAGAAUACACUGCAGCUAUUGAUAUUUGGUCAGUUGGCUGCAUUUUCAUGGAAAUUAUUAGAAGGGAGCCUCUUUUCCCUGGCAAAGACUAUGUUCAGCAAUUGGGGCUUAUAACUGAGUUGCUAGGUUCACCAGAUGAUUCAGAUCUUGGAUUCCUUCGAAGUGAUAAUGCUCGGAGAUAUGUCAAGCAGCUUCCACGUGUCCCCAAGAGACCUUUUGCACAGAAUUUUCCAGAUGUGUCAGCAGUGGCUCUUGAUCUUGUAGAGAGAAUGCUAGAGUUUGAUCCAUGCAAACGCAUAACUGUUGAGGAGGCAUUGAAUCAUCCAUAUUUAUCAAGUCUUCAUGAAAUCAACGAAGAGCCUACUUGCCCAUCUCCUUUUAUUUUUGAUUUUGAGCAAAUUUCGUUAAAUGAAGAAGAUAUAAAGGAGCUCAUAUGGGCAGAGUCUAUGAACUUCAACCCAGAUGUCAUGCUUGAGUAAUAUCACCAACAUUUAUAUAAUUUUUUGCCCAUUGUUUGGUUGAUUGGUAUCCAUAUCAGAAGUGUGAUGAAAUUCUCUGUGACCAGAGAAAUUAGGGAGAUAGGUUCUCCCUUCCCAUAUUGUCAGGGUAGAAUGGCAGUUUGUGCAUGGUUUUAAUAUUGAGGAUUCUUGGAUUCAGUCUUUUGGAGAAUCCAGCACCCAAUAAGUUUGGUAUGCAUCAACAAGGCUAUAUAUUCUCCUAGCCUCUAUAUGUUUUUGGCUGUGGUUGGUUUGUAUAUUGUAUACUAAAUUCUAUCAAACAUGGAAGAAAAAUGAAAAGAAAGGAAACUGUUCUGAAGCAUUUUUGGUAUGUUCUUUGCU
This 1574-nucleotide unclassified non-coding RNA is filed under the name Hevea brasiliensis (rubber tree). The record is from RNAcentral. Lineage: Eukaryota; Viridiplantae; Streptophyta; Magnoliopsida; Malpighiales; Euphorbiaceae.